GACGAACGCUGGCGGCGUGCUUAACACAUGCAAGUCGAACGGAAAGGCCCUGCUUUUGUGUGGUGCUCGAGUGGCGAACGGGUGAGUAACACGUGAGUAACCUGCCCUUGACUUUGGGAUAACUUCAGGAAACUGGGGCUAAUACCGGAUAGGAGCUCCUGCUGCAUGGUGGGGGUUGGAAAGUUUCGGCGGUUGGGGUUGGACUCGCGGCUUAUCAGCUUGUUGGUGGGGUAGUGGCUUACCAAGGCUUUGACGGGUAGCCGGCCUGAGAGGGUGACCGGCGACAUUGGGACUGAGAUACGGCCCAGAGUACUACGGGAGGCAGCAGUGGGGAAUAUUGCACAAUGGGCGGAAGCCUGAUGCAGAAACGCCGCGUGCGGGAUGACGGCCUUCGGGUUGUAAACCGCUUUAGCCUGUGACGAAGCGUGAGUGACGGUAAUGGGUAAAGAAGCACCGGCUAACUACGUG
This 468-nucleotide ribosomal RNA is filed under the name uncultured bacterium. Its description in RNAcentral is "partial 16S ribosomal RNA". It matches the Rfam family "Bacterial small subunit ribosomal RNA", at positions 28 to 507 of the family's 1533-position model. The record is from RNAcentral.